AACGAACGCUGGCGGCAGGCUUAACACAUGCAAGUCGAACGCGCCCUUCGGGGCGAGUGGCAGACGGGUGAGUAACGCGUGGGAACCCACCUUUUGGUACGGAAUAACUCAGGGAAACUUGAGCUAAUACCGUAUAAGCCCUGACUUUUAAUCGGGUCUGGGGAAAGAUUCAUCGCCAAAGGAUGGGCCCGCGUCGGAUUAGCUAGUUGGUGGGGUAAUGGCCUACCAAGGCGACGAUCCGUAGCUGGUCUGAGAGGAUGAUCAGCCACACUGGGACUGAGACACGGCCCAGACUCCUACGGGAGGCAGCAGUGGGGAAUAUUGGACAAUGGGGGCAACCCUGAUCCAGCCAUGCCGCGUGAGUGAUGAAGGCCUUAGGGUUGUAAAGCUCUUUCGCCGGUGAAGAUAAUGACGGUAACCGGAGAAGAAGCCCCGGCUAACUUCGUGCCAGCCGCCGCUGUAA
Molecule: ribosomal RNA, 463 nt
Filed under: uncultured bacterium
Lineage: Bacteria
Description: partial 16S ribosomal RNA
Rfam family: Bacterial small subunit ribosomal RNA
Source: RNAcentral